CAUCAAUAUUCAAAAAUUGUAAAUUUUUUUAUACUAAUUCCCUCUAUGUCAUUUUAGAUCUCUCCCUUUCGCUUUUCACUCCAUGCAUAUAAUUAACAAAAUUAAAAGAAUUGGCUACGAUUGCAAAUUGGACCAAAGCUAUGGAUUCUUUUGGGUCAUUAACCCCAACAAAAAAAGUUCCACCAAUGAUAUCAAAAAAAUUAAAUCACAAAUACCAUAAGGAAUAUCUAAGAUAAUACAAUUACUACGUAAACGAAAUAUGGACAAAAUAAAGAUCAUACCUGUACAAGCACAGCACCUGCA
This 303-nucleotide unclassified non-coding RNA is filed under the name Hevea brasiliensis (rubber tree). Lineage: Eukaryota; Viridiplantae; Streptophyta; Magnoliopsida; Malpighiales; Euphorbiaceae. The record is from RNAcentral.